Molecule: non-coding RNA, 23 nt
Filed under: Cricetulus griseus (Chinese hamster)
Lineage: Eukaryota; Metazoa; Chordata; Mammalia; Rodentia; Cricetidae
Source: RNAcentral
AUUUGUCUGUUGUGUGAUACAUU